CAUGCAAGUCGAACGCAGUAGCAAUACUGAGUGGCAAACGGGUGAGUAACAUGUGGGUAUCUGCCCUUCGGCCUGGAAUAACACGAGGAAACUUGUGCUAAUACCGGAUAAGUCUUUACAGAGAAAGCUUUAUGCACCGAUGGAUGAGCCCGCACCUGAUUAGUUAGUUGGUGAGGUAAUGGCUCACCAAGACAAUGAUCAGUAGCUGAUUUGAGAGGAUGAUCAGCCACAUUGGGACUGAGACACGGCCCAAACUCCUACGGGAGGCAGCAGUGGGGAAUCUUGCACAAUGGGGGAAACCCUGAUGCAGCGAUGCCGCGUGAGUGAAGAAGGCCUUUGGGUUGUAAAGCUCUUUCGUCGGGGAAGAAAAUGACUGUACCCGAAUAAGAAGGUCCGGCUAACUUCGUGCCAGCAGCCGCGGUAAUACGAAGGGACCUAGCGUAGUUCGGAAUUACUGGGCUUAAAGAGUUCGUAGGUGGUUAAAAAAGUUGGUGGUGAAAUCCCAGAGCUUAACUCUGGAACUGCCAUCAAAACUUUUUAGCUAGAGUAUGAUAGAGGAAAGUAGAAUUUCUAGUGUAGAGGUGAAAUUCGUAGAUAUUAGAAAGAAUACCGAUUGCGAAGGCAACUUUCUGGAUCAUUACUGACACUGAGGAACGAAAGCAUAGGUAGCGAAGAGGAUUAGAUACCCUCGUAGUCCAUGCCGUAAACGAUGUGUGCUAGACGUUGGAAAUUUAUUUU
RNAcentral lists this ribosomal RNA (738 nucleotides) under uncultured Pelagibacterales bacterium. Its description in RNAcentral is "bacterial SSU rRNA". It matches the Rfam family "Bacterial small subunit ribosomal RNA", at positions 54 to 840 of the family's 1533-position model. Lineage: Bacteria; Pseudomonadati; Pseudomonadota; Alphaproteobacteria; Candidatus Pelagibacterales. The record is from RNAcentral.